AUGCUCUGGUUUCUCUUCAGAUCGUAUAAAUCUUUCGCCUUUUACUAAAGAUUUCUGUGGAGAGGAACAACCAAGAGUCUUAAUCGAAUUUUUUGAGGCCUUGCUAUUUGUGAGGCU
This is a small nuclear RNA of Gracilinanus agilis (Agile Gracile Mouse Opossum), 117 nucleotides long. RefSeq annotates it as U5 spliceosomal RNA. Lineage: Eukaryota; Metazoa; Chordata; Mammalia; Didelphimorphia; Didelphidae. The transcript has a single exon. The record is from RefSeq and is a predicted model, not a curated record.